This 371-nucleotide ribosomal RNA is filed under the name uncultured organism. RNAcentral's name for it is "partial 16S ribosomal RNA". It matches the Rfam family "Bacterial small subunit ribosomal RNA", at positions 527 to 896 of the family's 1533-position model. The record is from RNAcentral.
GUAGGUGGCAAGCGUUGUCCGGAAUUAUUGGGCGUAAAGCGCGCGCAGGCGGUCCUUUAAGUCUGAUGUGAAAGCCCACGGCUCAACCGUGGAGGGUCAUUGGAAACUGAGGGACUUGAGUACAGAAGAGGAAAGCGGAAUUCCACGUGUAGCGGUGAAAUGCGUAGAGAUGUGGAGGAACACCAGUGGCGAAGGCGGCUUUCUGGUCUGUAACUGACGCUGAGGCGCGAAAGCGUGGGGAGCAAACAGGAUUAGAUACCCUGGUAGUCCACGCCGUAAGCGAUGAGUGCUAAGUGUUAGGGGGUUUCCCGCCCCUUAGUGCUGCAGCUAACGCAUUAAGCACUCCGCCUGGGAGUACGACCGCAAGGUUG